This 2298-nucleotide ribosomal RNA is filed under the name Staphylococcus aureus. Its description in RNAcentral is "partial 23S ribosomal RNA". It matches the Rfam family "Bacterial large subunit ribosomal RNA", at positions 625 to 2925 of the family's 2925-position model. The record is from RNAcentral. Lineage: Bacteria; Bacillati; Bacillota; Bacilli; Caryophanales; Staphylococcaceae.
GAGUUACGAUUUGAUGCAAGGUUAAGCAGUAAAUGUGGAGCCGUAGCGAAAGCGAGUCUGAAUAGGGCGUUUAGUAUUUGGUCGUAGACCCGAAACCAGGUGAUCUACCCUUGGUCAGGUUGAAGUUCAGGUAACACUGAAUGGAGGACCGAACCGACUUACGUUGAAAAGUGAGCGGAUGAACUGAGGGUAGCGGAGAAAUUCCAAUCGAACCUGGAGAUAGCUGGUUCUCUCCGAAAUAGCUUUAGGGCUAGCCUCAAGUGAUGAUUAUUGGAGGUAGAGCACUGUUUGGACGAGGGGCCCCUCUCGGGUUACCGAAUUCAGACAAACUCCGAAUGCCAAUUAAUUUAACUUGGGAGUCAGAACAUGGGUGAUAAGGUCCGUGUUCGAAAGGGAAACAGCCCAGACCACCAGCUAAGGUCCCAAAAUAUAUGUUAAGUGGAAAAGGAUGUGGCGUUGCCCAGACAACUAGGAUGUUGGCUUAGAAGCAGCCAUCAUUUAAAGAGUGCGUAAUAGCUCACUAGUCGAGUGACACUGCGCCGAAAAUGUACCGGGGCUAAACAUAUUACCGAAGCUGUGGAUUGUCCUUUGGACAAUGGUAGGAGAGCGUUCUAAGGGCGUUGAAGCAUGAUCGUAAGGACAUGUGGAGCGCUUAGAAGUGAGAAUGCCGGUGUGAGUAGCGAAAGACGGGUGAGAAUCCCGUCCACCGAUUGACUAAGGUUUCCAGAGGAAGGCUCGUCCGCUCUGGGUUAGUCGGGUCCUAAGCUGAGGCCGACAGGCGUAGGCGAUGGAUAACAGGUUGAUAUUCCUGUACCACCUAUAAUCGUUUUAAUCGAUGGGGGGACGCAGUAGGAUAGGCGAAGCGUGCGAUUGGAUUGCACGUCUAAGCAGUAAGGCUGAGUAUUAGGCAAAUCCGGUACUCGUUAAGGCUGAGCUGUGAUGGGGAGAAGACAUUGUGUCUUCGAGUCGUUGAUUUCACACUGCCGAGAAAAGCCUCUAGAUAGAAAAUAGGUGCCCGUACCGCAAACCGACACAGGUAGUCAAGAUGAGAAUUCUAAGGUGAGCGAGCGAACUCUCGUUAAGGAACUCGGCAAAAUGACCCCGUAACUUCGGGAGAAGGGGUGCUCUUUAGGGUUAACGCCCAGAAGAGCCGCAGUGAAUAGGCCCAAGCGACUGUUUAUCAAAAACACAGGUCUCUGCUAAACCGUAAGGUGAUGUAUAGGGGCUGACGCCUGCCCGGUGCUGGAAGGUUAAGAGGAGUGGUUAGCUUCUGCGAAGCUACGAAUCGAAGCCCCAGUAAACGGCGGCCGUAACUAUAACGGUCCUAAGGUAGCGAAAUUCCUUGUCGGGUAAGUUCCGACCCGCACGAAAGGCGUAACGAUUUGGGCACUGUCUCAACGAGAGACUCGGUGAAAUCAUAGUACCUGUGAAGAUGCAGGUUACCCGCGACAGGACGGAAAGACCCCGUGGAGCUUUACUGUAGCCUGAUAUUGAAAUUCGGCACAGCUUGUACAGGAUAGGUAGGAGCCUUUGAAACGUGAGCGCUAGCUUACGUGGAGGCGCUGGUGGGAUACUACCCUAGCUGUGUUGGCUUUCUAACCCGCACCACUUAUCGUGGUGGGAGACAGUGUCAGGCGGGCAGUUUGACUGGGGCGGUCGCCUCCUAAAAGGUAACGGAGGCGCUCAAAGGUUCCCUCAGAAUGGUUGGAAAUCAUUCAUAGAGUGUAAAGGCAUAAGGGAGCUUGACUGCGAGACCUACAAGUCGAGCAGGGUCGAAAGACGGACUUAGUGAUCCGGUGGUUCCGCAUGGAAGGGCCAUCGCUCAACGGAUAAAAGCUACCCCGGGGAUAACAGGCUUAUCUCCCCCAAGAGUUCACAUCGACGGGGAGGUUUGGCACCUCGAUGUCGGCUCAUCGCAUCCUGGGGCUGUAGUCGGUCCCAAGGGUUGGGCUGUUCGCCCAUUAAAGCGGUACGCGAGCUGGGUUCAGAACGUCGUGAGACAGUUCGGUCCCUAUCCGUCGUGGGCGUAGGAAAUUUGAGAGGAGCUGUCCUUAGUACGAGAGGACCGGGAUGGACAUACCUCUGGUGUACCAGUUGUCGUGCCAACGGCAUAGCUGGGUAGCUAUGUGUGGACGGGAUAAGUGCUGAAAGCAUCUAAGCAUGAAGCCCCCCUCAAGAUGAGAUUUCCCAACUUCGGUUAUAAGAUCCCUCAAAGAUGAUGAGGUUAAUAGGUUCGAGGUGGAAGCAUGGUGACAUGUGGAGCUGACGAAUACUAAUCGAUCGAAGACUUAAUCAAAA